This 497-nucleotide ribosomal RNA is filed under the name uncultured bacterium. RNAcentral's name for it is "partial 16S ribosomal RNA". It matches the Rfam family "Bacterial small subunit ribosomal RNA", at positions 28 to 507 of the family's 1533-position model. The record is from RNAcentral.
GACGAACGCUGGCGGCGUGCCUAAUACAUGCAAGUAGAACGCUGAAGAGAGGAGCUUGCUCUUCUUGGAUGAGUUGCGAACGGGUGAGUAACGCGUAGGUAACCUGCCUGGUAGCGGGGGAUAACUAUUGGAAACGAUAGCUAAUACCGCAUGAAAUUGCUUAUCGCAUGAUAAUUGAUUGAAAGAUGCAAUUGCAUCACUACCAGAUGGACCUGCGUUGUAUUAGCUAGUUGGUGAGGUAACGGCUCACCAAGGCGACGAUACAUAGCCGACCUGAGAGGGUGAUCGGCCACACUGGGACUGAGACACGGCCCAGACUCCUACGGGAGGCAGCAGUAGGGAAUCUUCGGCAAUAGGGGGAACCCUGACCGAGCAACGCCGCGUGAGUGAAGAAGGUUGUCGGAUCGUAAAGCUCUGUUGUAAGAGAAGAACGGGUGUGAGAGUGGAAAGUUCACACUGUGACGGUAUCUGACCAGAAAGGGACGGCUAACUACGUG